ACAUAGGCUCCAAGCGUUGUCCGGAUUUAUUGGGCGUAAAGAGCUCGUAGGCGGUUGAGUAAGUCGGGUGUGAAAACUUUGGGCUUAACCCAAAGAUGCCACUCGAUACUGUUCAACUUGAGUUUGGUAGGGGAGUGGGGAAUUCCUUGUGUAGCGGUGAAAUGCGCAGAUAUAAGGAGGAACACCGGUGGCGAAGGCGCCACUCUGGGCCAAUACUGACGCUGAGGAGCGAAAGCGUGGGGAGCAAACAGGAUUAGAUACCCUGGUAGUCCACGCGGUAAACGGUGGUCACUAGGUGUGGGUCUCUAACCAAUGAGAUCCGCGCCGUCGCUAACGCAUUAAGUGACCCGCCUGGGGAGUACGGUCGCAAGACUA
Molecule: ribosomal RNA, 375 nt
Filed under: uncultured bacterium
Lineage: Bacteria
Description: bacterial SSU rRNA
Rfam family: Bacterial small subunit ribosomal RNA
Source: RNAcentral